RNAcentral lists this ribosomal RNA (252 nucleotides) under uncultured bacterium. Its description in RNAcentral is "partial 16S ribosomal RNA". It matches the Rfam family "Bacterial small subunit ribosomal RNA", at positions 524 to 776 of the family's 1533-position model. The record is from RNAcentral.
CACGUAGGGGGCAAGCGUUGUCCGGAAUUAUUGGGCGUAAAGAGCUCGUAGGCGGCUCGGUAAGUCAGGUGUCAAAUCCUCAGGCUCAACCUGGGGCUCCACCUGAUACUGCUGUGGCUAGAGUCCGGUAGGGGAGCGUGGAAUUCCUGGUGUAGCGGUGAAAUGCGCAGAUAUCAGGAGGAACACCGGUGGCGAAGGCGGGUCUCUGGGCCGAUACUGACGCUGAGGAGCGAAAGCGUGGGAGCGAACAGG